UAGAGAUUAGUUAAAUUAUAAUAGUAGUUUGUCAAACUACAGUCGUCAUUGCAUCUCUUU
Molecule: transfer RNA, 60 nt
Filed under: Bactrurus brachycaudus
Lineage: Eukaryota; Metazoa; Arthropoda; Malacostraca; Amphipoda; Crangonyctidae
Description: tRNA-Asp
Source: RNAcentral